Molecule: ribosomal RNA, 331 nt
Filed under: uncultured bacterium
Lineage: Bacteria
Description: bacterial SSU rRNA
Rfam family: Bacterial small subunit ribosomal RNA
Source: RNAcentral
CACGCAGGCGGUUGGAUAAGUUAGAUGUGAAAGCCCCGGGCUCAACCUGGGAAUUGCAUUUAAAACUGUCCAGCUAGAGUCUUGUAGAGGGGGGUAGAAUUCCAGGUGUAGCGGUGAAAUGCGUAGAGAUCUGGAGGAAUACCGGUGGCGAAGGCGGCCCCCUGGACAAAGACUGACGCUCAGGUGCGAAAGCGUAGGGAGCAAACAGGAUUAGAUACCCUGGUAGUCCACGCCGUAAACGAUGUCGAUUUGGAGGCUGUGUCCUUGAGACGUGGCUUCCGGAGCUAACGCGUUAAAUCGACCGCCUGGGGAGUACGGCCGCAAGGUUAAA